RNAcentral lists this long non-coding RNA (412 nucleotides) under Monodelphis domestica (gray short-tailed opossum). RNAcentral's name for it is "lncRNA (ENSMODG00000035763.2)". Lineage: Eukaryota; Metazoa; Chordata; Mammalia; Didelphimorphia; Didelphidae. The record is from RNAcentral.
AUAAACUUAAAAAAGAGAAAGAAAGAAAGAAAGAAAGAAAGAAAGAAAGAAAGAAAGAAAGAAAGAAAGAAAGAAAGAAAGAAAGAAAGAAAGAAAGAAAGAAAGAAAGAAAGAAAGAAAGAAAGAAAGAAAGAAAGAAAGAAAGAAAGAAAGAAAGAAAGAAAGAAAGAAAGAAAGGAAGGAAGGAAGGAAGGAAGGAAGGAAGGAAGGAAGGAAGGAAGGAAGGAAGGAAGAGAGAAAGAAAGAAAGAAAGGAAGGAAGGAAGGAAGGAAGGAAGGAAGGAAGGAAGGAAGGAAGGAAGGAAGGAAGGAAGGAAGGAAGGAAAUAAGGAAGGGAGGAAGGAAGGAAGAGGAAGGAAGGAAGGAAGGAAGGAAGGAAGGAAGGAAGGAAGGAAGGGAGGAAAAGGGAAGAA